AUGGAGGACACACGUGUGCUGGAGCUUAUACUUGAAGGAAAGGAGAACCCGACGAAUCUGUCAUUGGCACUGUUACAUAAAAUCACCAAUGGUUUCUCCGAAGAGAGAAAGAUUGGUCAGGGUGGAUUUGGAGAGGUUUACAAGAUACCGACAAAAGAGGCUCAAUCAGAAGAAAUUAAUUUGGCCAGCGUAAAAGCAAAAUUGUUCUGUUUCGAGUAUAUCAGCAAAGGAAGCCUUGAUCAGCAUAUUAGUGAUGAAUUAAGGGGACUUGAUUGGGAAACACGUUAUGAAAUCAUCAUGGGAAUCUGCCAGGGUGAUAAAAUGGUUCCAAAACUAACGGAUUUUGGUUUGUCAAGACCAAAUAAAAACUCACGUACUAUGGCACAACCUAUUGGAACACGAGGAUAUAUCGCUCCAGAAUACGAAAAAGAUGGGGAAAUUUCCUUCAAGGCUGACAUAUAUAGUUUGGGUGCCAUAAUCAUAGAAUUAGUAAAGGGGUGUAAGGGCGUCCCUCACAAAAAUAAUGUACUUCGAAGAUGGAGACACAGGUGGAAUAAGCCACCAACAUCGGUACAAUACCAUCAAGUCACUAGAUGCAUUGACAUGGCAGUACAGUGCAUGCAGGAAAAACCAGGACAUAGACCUUCUAUAUCGGAAAUAAUCCACAUUUUGAGUGAACCUGGGAGGAUGAAUGGUAACCCUGACGAGGUAAGGCCAACUCUAACGAAUCCCCUAAAAAAUAGAGGAGUAAACCUUAGUGGAAUAUGUUUGUGGAACACCACCUCCUCCAUCCUCCCCCCCCCCCUCGCCGCCGCCAAGGGCCACUACCAGGCAAAGCCCGGGCAGUGCCGGUGGCGGCGGUGCCUCUCCCCUAGCGCGCCUCUCCCUCCUUCAUUGUGGAGGCCUAGUUUUUCCUGGUGA
RNAcentral lists this ribosomal RNA (921 nucleotides) under Triticum aestivum (bread wheat). RNAcentral's name for it is "partial small subunit ribosomal RNA". Lineage: Eukaryota; Viridiplantae; Streptophyta; Magnoliopsida; Poales; Poaceae. The record is from RNAcentral.